UCUGCUGGCACCGACCAGCGCCCAGCCGUCCGGGGAUCUGUGCCAGAACGUUCGAUGCCUGCCCGGGGACGUGUGCCGAGUGAUCCAGGCCUGCAACAGCCCCGUGUGUCCUCCCCGCCCCCUCUGUGUGCCCUGUGUCCCGAGGGGCAUUGAUCACGUGUGCAACAGAAACAACUACAUCUACACAGUUCUCGUUGGCCAACAGACCCAACCACGAGCUUUGCUAGAACGUAAAUGCGUCCCCUACCACCCCAACAGCUGCCCGUACGGUUCUGCCUGUGUUCCUGACGGUGCCGGAUCCGGCAACUGCUGCUACAGACGACCUCCCCCGGGGUUACCAGCCAUCAACCGCGACCCCGUCUGCCCAGUGCUGGGCAAGCCUGGCUUCUGUCCCCUUGUCCCACCCUACAUCCCCCCUCACUGCCCGCCCGCAGUCAACUACUGCCGUAACGAUUACGACUGCCCGGGGAUCCUCAAAUGUUGCAGGACAGAGUGUGGAGGGUACGACUGCAACAUCUACCAGUAAACUACACGUUGUACUACACACAAGGCCGUGAUAGACUCCAAGGUGCAAGGAUAGUUUUAUUUUAAUC
Molecule: long non-coding RNA, 593 nt
Organism: Physella acuta
Lineage: Eukaryota; Metazoa; Mollusca; Gastropoda; Physidae
Source: RefSeq, a predicted model, not a curated record